This is a small nucleolar RNA of Temnothorax curvispinosus, 91 nucleotides long. RefSeq annotates it as small nucleolar RNA snR60/Z15/Z230/Z193/J17. Lineage: Eukaryota; Metazoa; Arthropoda; Insecta; Hymenoptera; Formicidae. The record is from RefSeq and is a predicted model, not a curated record. The transcript has a single exon.
GUACAAUUACCAUGAUGAUUUCAUAGUUCAACUGAAAUUACUUUGACGAUAAUUUAAUAUUAUAGUCUUUCGCUCCUAUCUGAUAUUAGUU